AGCGGUUGGAGCAUGUGGUUUAAUUCGAAGCAACGCGAAGAACCUUACCAAGUCUUGACAUCCCGAUGACAGAGUAUGUAAUGUACUUUCUCUUCGGAGCAUCGGUGACAGGUGGUGCAUGGUUGUCGUCAGCUCGUGUCGUGAGAUGUUGGGUUAAGUCCCGCAACGAGCGCAACCCCUGUUCUUAGUAGCCAGCGGUUCGGCCGGGCACUCUAGGGAGACUGCCAGGGAUAACCUGGA
Molecule: ribosomal RNA, 240 nt
Filed under: uncultured bacterium
Lineage: Bacteria
Description: partial 16S ribosomal RNA
Rfam family: Bacterial small subunit ribosomal RNA
Source: RNAcentral